AAGGGAGUGCAUUAUGCAAACUGAAGUUUUAAAAUCAUUUCAUUUUCUAAGAACUAAACUUCAAUCUUCCACAAAAAUCUAUGUGUAUUGGUUCCUUAGGUUCCGAGAAUAAUAUGCUACUAAUCUCACCCCCCAACCUAACUCUUUUCAACACUUUAGCAACCUGACCAAAAUCAAUAAGAAAAGAACACACUUUCAUCUUUUUUUUUUUUUUUUUUU
RNAcentral lists this long non-coding RNA (219 nucleotides) under Vitis vinifera (wine grape). Its description in RNAcentral is "long non-coding RNA (VVIN_LNC005834)". Lineage: Eukaryota; Viridiplantae; Streptophyta; Magnoliopsida; Vitales; Vitaceae. The record is from RNAcentral.